UAUUGAUAAGAUUAUUUAUUUAUUUUUUGUUGAAUUAUUAUUUUAUUUAUUAUUUAAAUAGAAAAAUUUGUUUUUAUUAUAGUGAAUUAGUAAUGUGAGUGAAUUUUUUAAAAUUUAAAUAAGCAAAAUUAAUUUUUUGUACCUUGUGUAUCAGGGUUUAUUAAUUAAAAUUUAAUUAUUUAAUUUUCUCGAAUUUAAAAGUUCUAAUUAAUUAUUUAUUUAAUUGUUUUAUAAAUUUUUAUAAUUUUUAAUUAGAAAUGAAAUGUUAUUCGUUUUUAAAUAUAUCUAGUUUUUUAAGAAAAAAAUUUAAUUUUUUUAUUAUUUAUUUAUUGAUUAAUUUUUAGUUAAUAAUUUUUAGUAUAAAAUAUUUAGGGGGAUGAGCUCUUAUUUAUAUCAUUAAAAAAUUAAAUUUUGUUAUUUUUUGUAUGAUUUAAAUUGUUAAUCAAUAAAAUAAUUUAAUAGUUAAUUUUAAUUUUAAUAAGAUUUGUAUUAUUUUUAGUUUUUAUAUUAAAAUGUUUGGUUUAAUUUUUAUCUUAAUUAAUAAUGAUGAAAUUAGUAGAUAAAUAUUUAUUUAAUAUUAAAUUAUUAAGGUGAUAAAAAGGAAUUCGGCAAAUAAUUUUUCGCCUGUUUAUUAAAAACAUGGUUUUUUGAUUAUAAUUUAAGAUUUAAUCUGCUCAAUGAUUUGUUAAAUUGCUGCAGUAUUUUGACUGUACAAAGGUAGCAUAAUAAUUAGUUUCUUGAUUAGAAACUGGAAUGAAUGAUUGGACGAAAAAAUUUCUGUCUCUUUAUUAUUUUUAUUGAAUUUUACUUUUAAGUUAAAAGGCUUAAAUUUUUUUAAAAGACGAGAAGACCCCAUAGAGUUUAAUUUUUUAGUUAAUUUAUAUAUUUUGGUAUAAAAUUAUUUAAAUUGAUUAAAAAAUUUUGUUGGGGUGACUGAAAGAUUUAAUUAAUUCUUUUAAUUAAAAUCAUAUAUUUAUGAACAUAAAAUCUAUAUUUUUAAAUUUAAAAUAAAUUACCUUGGGGAUAACAGCGUAAUUUUUCUUUAGAGUUCUUAUUGAAAGAAGAGAUUGCGACCUCGAUGUUGGAUUAAAAUUUAUUUUAGGUGUAGAAGCUUGAUAUAUUAAGUCUGUUCGACUUUUAAAAUUUUACAUGAUCUGAGUUUAAACCGGUGUGAGCCAGGUUGGUUUCUAUCUUUAAUUUUUUAUGAUAUUUUAGUACGAAAGGACCAAAUAUUGAAUAUAUUAUUUUUAAUUGAAUAUUAUU
Molecule: ribosomal RNA, 1263 nt
Filed under: Asymmetricata circumdata
Lineage: Eukaryota; Metazoa; Arthropoda; Insecta; Coleoptera; Lampyridae
Description: 16S ribosomal RNA
Rfam family: Archaeal large subunit ribosomal RNA (bases 1023-1182)
Source: RNAcentral